RNAcentral lists this non-coding RNA (30 nucleotides) under Homo sapiens (human). Lineage: Eukaryota; Metazoa; Chordata; Mammalia; Primates; Hominidae. The record is from RNAcentral.
UCAAACAAUACCUUUGAGUUGAUGGUCUGU